UCCGGUUCACCACCGGCAGUCUCCUUAGAGUCCCCGCCAUUACGCGCUGGCAACUAAGGAUAAGGGUUGCGCUCGUUACGGGACUUAACCCAACAUCUCACAACACGAGCUGACGACAGCCAUGCAGCACCUGUCUUCUGGUUCCUUUCGGCACUCCCAUAUCUCUACGGGAUUCCAGAGAUGUCAAGAGCAGGUAAGGUUCUUCGCGUUGCAUCGAAUUAAACCACAUGCUCCACCGCUUGUGCGGGCCCCCGUCAAUUUCUUUGAGUUUUAACCUUGCGGCCGUACUCCCCAGGCGGAGAACUUAUCGCGUUAGCUUCGAUACUAAGCAGUCUAAGCUGCCCAACAUCUAGUUCUCAUCGUUUACAGCGUGGACUAC
Molecule: unclassified non-coding RNA, 379 nt
Filed under: uncultured Gammaproteobacteria bacterium
Lineage: Bacteria; Pseudomonadati; Pseudomonadota; Gammaproteobacteria
Description: contains 16S-23S intergenic spacer region
Source: RNAcentral